Molecule: non-coding RNA, 462 nt
Organism: Lonchura striata (white-rumped munia)
Lineage: Eukaryota; Metazoa; Chordata; Aves; Passeriformes; Estrildidae
Source: RefSeq, a predicted model, not a curated record
GCUUCAUGGAACUGCAUGCAGAACACAGGCACUCAAAAUGCCAAACAAGAGAGACUUUCCAAAGUUAAACUUAGCAGCAGCUACAAGGUUCAGAAAUCACCCACAUUUCCACAGAGUCCUCAGGAAUAUAAAACACAAAAAUCCUCGUCUAAAGGAUGCUCUGACUCCGAAGUUAUAUUACAAGACAGGCACACUCCUGAAAAUGCCGUGUAUUGCAGAGGAAAGCUGUAAUUCAGGUAGAGGUGACAGGAAGACUGAUACUCUUUGGCUUGCUGUAUUUUCCAUCAUGAGAGUUUCAGCAUAACAUCAUGUUGAACAGGACAAAGAAGAAAUUACUGGGAUAAUUCAAAUUAAUAAAAUGUAUAAAGCCCACGGUCAACAUCCACAAUGACAGCCUUGACUUUUUUAGGGGAUCACUGUUUCCUCCUAUGCUAGUAUGCAAAGCAAGAGAGCUCAAACAAG